GCCUGGGUGGCUCAGUCGGUUGAGCGUCCGACUUAGGCUCAGGUCAUGAUCUCGCAGUUUGUGAGUUCGAGCCCCACGUCGGGCU
RNAcentral lists this transfer RNA (85 nucleotides) under Felis catus (domestic cat). It matches the Rfam family "tRNA". From Rfam's summary of the family: Transfer RNA (tRNA) molecules are approximately 80 nucleotides in length. Their secondary structure includes four short double-helical elements and three loops (D, anti-codon, and T loops). The record is from Rfam by way of RNAcentral. Lineage: Eukaryota; Metazoa; Chordata; Mammalia; Carnivora; Felidae. RNAcentral also lists the same sequence under 2 other names.